GAGUUUGAUCCUGGCUCAGGACGAACGCUGGCGGCGUGCUUAACACAUGCAAGUCGAGCGGUAAGGCUCCUUCGGGAGUACACGAGCGGCGAACGGGUGAGUAACACGUGAGCAAUCUGCCCUUCACACUGGGAUACCCCCCGGAAACGGGAGCUAAUACCAGAUACGACCACUUCGGGCAUCCGAUGGUGGUGGAAAGUUCUGGCGGUGAAGGAUGAGCUCGCGGCCUAUCAGCUUGUUGGUGAGGUAAUGGCUCACCAAGGCUUCGACGGGUAGCCGGCCUGAGAGGGUGACCGGCCACACUGGGACUGAGACACGGCCCAGACUCCUACGGGAGGCAGCAGUGGGGAAUAUUGGACAAUGGGCGAAAGCCUGAUCCAGCAACGCCGCGUGAGGGAUGACGGCCUUCGGGUUGUAAACCUCUUUCGGCAGGGACGAAGCGCAAGUGACGGUACCUGCAGAAGAAGCACCGGCCAACUACGUGCCAGCAGCCGCGGUAAUACGUAGGGUGCGAGCGUUGUCCGGAAUUAUUGGGCGUAAAGGGCUCGUAGGCGGUUUGUUGCGUCGGUAGUGAAAACUCAGGGCUUAACCCUGAGCCUGCUUCCGAUACGGGCAGACUAGAGGUAUGCAGGGGAGAACGGAAUUCCUGGUGUAGCGGUGAAAUGCGCAGAUAUCAGGAGGAACACCGGUGGCGAAGGCGGUUCUCUGGGCAUUACCUGACGCUGAGGAGCGAAAGUGUGGGGAGCGAACAGGAUUAGAUACCCUGGUAGUCCACACCGUAAACGUUGGGCGCUAGGUGUGGGACUCAUUCCACGAGUUCCGUGCCGCCGCUAACGCAUUAAGCGCCCCGCCUGGGGAGUACGGCCGCAAGGCUAAAACUCAAAGGAAUUGACGG
RNAcentral lists this ribosomal RNA (895 nucleotides) under uncultured Nocardioides sp. RNAcentral's name for it is "bacterial SSU rRNA". It matches the Rfam family "Bacterial small subunit ribosomal RNA", at positions 9 to 916 of the family's 1533-position model. The record is from RNAcentral. Lineage: Bacteria; Bacillati; Actinomycetota; Actinomycetes; Propionibacteriales; Nocardioidaceae.